GAUGAACGCUGGCGGCGUGCUUAACACAUGCAAGUCGAACGAAGCACUUUAUUACGAUUUCUUCGGAAUGACGAUUUAGUGACUGAGUGGCGGACGGGUGAGUAACGCGUGGGUAACCUGCCUUAUACAGGGGGAUAACAGUUGGAAACGGCUGCUAAUACCGCAUAAGCGCACAGUACCGCAUGGUACAGUGUAGAAAAACUCCGGUGGUGUGAGAUGGACCCGCGGCUGAUUAGCUAGUUGGCAGGGUAACGGCCUACCAAGGCGACGAUCAGUAGCCGGCCUGAGAGGGUGAACGGCCACAUUGGGACUGAGACACGGCCCAAACUCCUACGGGAGGCAGCAGGUGGGGAAUAUUGCACAAUGGGGGAAACCCUGAUGCAGCGACGCCGCGUGAACGAAGAAGUAUUUCGGUAUGUAAAGUUCUAUCAGCAGGGAAGAUAAUGACGGUACCUGACUAAGAAGCACCGGCUAAAUACGUG
RNAcentral lists this ribosomal RNA (482 nucleotides) under uncultured bacterium. RNAcentral describes it as "bacterial SSU rRNA". It matches the Rfam family "Bacterial small subunit ribosomal RNA", at positions 28 to 507 of the family's 1533-position model. The record is from RNAcentral.